UCGGGAAUUUUGGGCAAUGGGGGAAACCCUGACCCAGCAACGCCGCGUGAAGGAUGAAGUAUUUCGGUAUGUAAACUUCGAAAGAAUAGGAAGAAUAAAUGACGGUACUAUUUAUAAGGUCCGGCUAACUACGUGCCAGCAGCCGCGGUAAUACGUAGGGACCAAGCGUUGUUCGGAUUUACUGGGCGUAAAGGGCGCGUAGGCGGCAUGACAAGUCACUUGUGAAAUCUCUGGGCUUAACCCAGAACGGCCAAGUGAUACUGUCGCGCUAGAGUGCAGAAGGGGCAAUCGGAAUUCUUGGUGUAGCGGUGAAAUGCGUAGAUAUCAAGAGGAACACCUGAGGUGAAGACGGGUUGCUGGGCCACUCCUGACACUGAAACACGAAAGCGUAGGUAGCGAAUGGGAUUAGAUACCCGUGUAGUCCCUGAGCGGGCUGGCAAGGCGCAU
Molecule: ribosomal RNA, 447 nt
Filed under: uncultured bacterium
Lineage: Bacteria
Description: bacterial SSU rRNA
Rfam family: Bacterial small subunit ribosomal RNA
Source: RNAcentral